UUUAAUCCCAGCGUCCUAUAAUCCCAGCGUCCUAUAACCCAGCCGGUCCUUUAAUCCCAGCGUCCUAUAAUCCCAGCGUCCUUUAAUCCCAGACGUCCUAUAAUCCCAGCCCGCUAUAAUCCCAGCGUCCUAUAAUCCCAGCGUCCUUUAAUCCCAGCGUCCUAUAAUCCCAGCGUCCUAUUAAUCCCAGCGUCCUAUAAUCCCAGCGUCCUAUAAUCCCAGCGUCCUUUAAUCCCAGCGUCCUUUAAUCCCAGCGUCCUUUAAUCCCAGCCGCCUAUAAUCCCAGCGGUCCUUUAAUCCAGCGUCCUUUAAUCCCAGCGUCCUAUAAUCCCAGCGUCCUAUAAUCCCAGCGGUCCUUUAAUCCCAGCGGUCCUAUAAUCC
Molecule: long non-coding RNA, 381 nt
Organism: Ictalurus punctatus (channel catfish)
Lineage: Eukaryota; Metazoa; Chordata; Actinopteri; Siluriformes; Ictaluridae
Source: Ensembl